UGUUCGCCAUGGCGUCCCUGACGUCACGGCCAUGUCGACCUUCGAAAUCUCCAUGUCGUUCCUCUUUGUCGAUCCCAACGAUAUUCUCUAUUGGAGAAAGAUGAAGAAGAAGGCGUAGAGAGUCUGAUCGUGCUUGAUUGGCGAGUUUCCGACCCGUAGUUUGACAUUUUCACUUCGGCCGAAAUCGGCCGUCCAGCACACCGAGAGGAGGAUUGGGAAGAGGUUAGCGCAGCUUCGGAAGAGAAGAGCGUCGCCAUACUUCCGGUCGCUUUGUUGUUUGCAACGGGACCGGAUGUCUGCAAGAAUGCACCGUCUCGCUAGUUAGUAGAACGGCGUAGGUGAAUACAAGAUGUCUCUACGUGCAGAAGGUUUGCUGUUGCACACUUUUGCGGCAUUCGGGGGUCAUUUCAGUUCAUUUCAGGUCAUUGCGCACGGUCUGGUCAGAGAAGUGGUCAGGGCUUGGUCGCUUUCGAGCAGAAGCUCGAAGCUGUGCACCGUACAAGCAGAGGACGUGCUUUGUUGAGAGUAAUAGUUUGUAGAUAGUGUAGAUAGAUGUGUACAGUUGGUUAUUUCUACUUUGUAAGUAGUUUUACAAUAGUUUGUGUAGCUUA
Molecule: long non-coding RNA, 611 nt
Organism: Corticium candelabrum
Lineage: Eukaryota; Metazoa; Porifera; Homoscleromorpha; Homosclerophorida; Plakinidae
Exons: 2
Source: RefSeq, a predicted model, not a curated record